Molecule: long non-coding RNA, 317 nt
Filed under: Helianthus annuus (common sunflower)
Lineage: Eukaryota; Viridiplantae; Streptophyta; Magnoliopsida; Asterales; Asteraceae
Description: sRNA HanXRQr2_Chr15g0708481
Source: RNAcentral
UUUGGCCAUAUAUAGAUAUCCUAAACUCUAGAAAAAGAGGAGACAUAUAUUAUUACGGAGGAUCAGAAGCGGCACAUCAUUCUUUGGGGACGAUCAGAACUUCGGGGACGAAUUAUAAAGCUUAUUUGCAAGGAAUAAGGGUCUAGAAUCAUUGGAGUGGAACAAAAAGUUUGGAGAGCAAGGAAUUUACGGGUUAAGACAAUGGCCUAAAACAGCAUACCAGACAAGAUGAUAGUGAAAACGAGGACUUUCCGGACGAAACGACAAAGCUGUGAACAUUCUGUGAAGUUUCUGACCUGGGCAAGUGGAACGGUCGU